UGCUGCCUGGUGUCUUGCUGAUCAUC
RNAcentral lists this non-coding RNA (26 nucleotides) under Homo sapiens (human). The record is from RNAcentral. Lineage: Eukaryota; Metazoa; Chordata; Mammalia; Primates; Hominidae.